GCCUGGCUGGCUUAGUCAGUGGAGUGUGCAACUCUUAAUUUCAGGGUUGUGAGUUCAAGCCCCAUGUUGGGUG
This 73-nucleotide transfer RNA is filed under the name Felis catus (domestic cat). It matches the Rfam family "tRNA". From Rfam's summary of the family: Transfer RNA (tRNA) molecules are approximately 80 nucleotides in length. Their secondary structure includes four short double-helical elements and three loops (D, anti-codon, and T loops). Further hydrogen bonds mediate the characteristic L-shaped molecular structure. tRNAs have two regions of fundamental functional importance: the anti-codon, which is responsible for specific mRNA codon recognition, and the 3' end, to which the tRNAs corresponding amino acid is attached (by aminoacyl-tRNA synthetases). tRNAs cope with the degeneracy of the genetic code in two manners: having more than one tRNA (with a specific anti-codon) for a particular amino acid; and 'wobble' base-pairing, i.e. permitting non-standard base-pairing at the 3rd anti-codon position. RNAcentral also lists the same sequence under 5 other names. Lineage: Eukaryota; Metazoa; Chordata; Mammalia; Carnivora; Felidae. The record is from Rfam by way of RNAcentral.